This 70-nucleotide transfer RNA is filed under the name Nephotettix parvus. RNAcentral's name for it is "tRNA-Lys". It matches the Rfam family "tRNA". From Rfam's summary of the family: Transfer RNA (tRNA) molecules are approximately 80 nucleotides in length. Their secondary structure includes four short double-helical elements and three loops (D, anti-codon, and T loops). The record is from RNAcentral. Lineage: Eukaryota; Metazoa; Arthropoda; Insecta; Hemiptera; Cicadellidae.
CAUUAAGUAGCUUAAAUCAAAAAGCAUUGGUCUCUUAAAUCAAUUAUAGUAGUUAUUUUACUCUUAAUGA